GGUCCCGUAGUUAAAUGGACAUAACGGAUCCCUCCUAAGGAUCAGAUGCAGGUUCGAUUCCUGCCGGGAUCA
This 72-nucleotide transfer RNA is filed under the name Candidatus Pelagibacteraceae bacterium. RNAcentral describes it as "tRNA-Arg". It matches the Rfam family "tRNA". From Rfam's summary of the family: Transfer RNA (tRNA) molecules are approximately 80 nucleotides in length. Their secondary structure includes four short double-helical elements and three loops (D, anti-codon, and T loops). Further hydrogen bonds mediate the characteristic L-shaped molecular structure. tRNAs have two regions of fundamental functional importance: the anti-codon, which is responsible for specific mRNA codon recognition, and the 3' end, to which the tRNAs corresponding amino acid is attached (by aminoacyl-tRNA synthetases). tRNAs cope with the degeneracy of the genetic code in two manners: having more than one tRNA (with a specific anti-codon) for a particular amino acid; and 'wobble' base-pairing, i.e. permitting non-standard base-pairing at the 3rd anti-codon position. The record is from RNAcentral. Lineage: Bacteria; Pseudomonadati; Pseudomonadota; Alphaproteobacteria; Candidatus Pelagibacterales; Candidatus Pelagibacteraceae.